UACGGGGGGAGCAAGCGUUGUUCGGAUUUACUGGGCGUAAAGGGCGCGUAGGCGGCGCAACAAGUCACUUGUGAAAUCUCCGGGCUUAACCCGGAGCGGCCAAGUGAUACUGUCGUGCUAGAGUGCGGAAGGGGCUACUGGAAUUCUCGGUGUAGCGGUGAAAUGCGUAGAUAUCGAGAGGAACACCUGCGGCGAAGGCGGGUAGCUGGGCCGACACUGACGCUGAGAAGCGAAAGCAUGGGGAGCGAACAGG
This 253-nucleotide ribosomal RNA is filed under the name uncultured bacterium. RNAcentral's name for it is "partial 16S ribosomal RNA". It matches the Rfam family "Bacterial small subunit ribosomal RNA", at positions 524 to 776 of the family's 1533-position model. The record is from RNAcentral.